RNAcentral lists this ribosomal RNA (449 nucleotides) under uncultured bacterium. RNAcentral describes it as "partial 16S ribosomal RNA". It matches the Rfam family "Bacterial small subunit ribosomal RNA", at positions 29 to 523 of the family's 1533-position model. The record is from RNAcentral.
AGCGAACGCUGGCGGCAGGCUUAACACAUGCAAGUCGAACGGGCACUUCGGUGCUAGUGGCAGACGGGUGAGUAACGCGUGGGAACGUGCCUUUCGGUUCGGAAUAAUCCAGGGAAACUUGGACUAAUACCGGAUACGCCCUUCGGGGGAAAGAUUUAUCGCCGAAAGAUCGGCCCGCGUCUGAUUAACUAGAUGGUGAGGUAAAGGCUCACCAAGGCGACGAUCAGUAGCUGGUCUGAGAGGAUGAACAGCCACAUUGGGACUGAGACCCGGCCCUAACGCCGACGGGAGGCAGCAGUGGGGAAUAUUGGACAAUGGGCGCAAGCCUGACCCAGCCAUGCCGCGUGAGUGAUGAAGGCCUUAGGGUUGUAAAGCUCUUUUGUCCGGGAAGAUAAUGACUGUACCGGAAGAAUAAGCCCCGGCUAACUUCGUGCCAGCCGCCGCCGUAA